ACGGGAGGCAGCAGUGGGGAAUAUUGCACAAUGGGCGAAAGCCUGAUGCAGCGACGCCGCGUGAGCGAUGAAGUAUUUCGGUAUGUAAAGCUCUAUCAGCAGGGAAGAUAAUGACGGUACCUGACUAAGAAGCACCGGCUAAAUACGUGCCAGCAGCCGCGGUAAUACGUAUGGUGCAAGCGUUAUCCGGAUUUACUGGGUGUAAAGGGUGCGUAGGUGGUAUGGCAAGUCAGAAGUGAAAACUAUGGGCUCAACCCAUAGACUGCUUUUGAAACUGUCAAACUAGAGUGCAGGAGAGGAAAGAAGAAUUCCUAGUGUAGCGGUGAAAUGCGUAGAUAUUAGGAGGAAUACCAGUGGCGAAGGCGUCUUUCUGGACUGUUACUGACACUGAGGCACGAAAGCGUGGGGAGCAAACAGGAUUAGAUACCCUGGUA
This 434-nucleotide ribosomal RNA is filed under the name uncultured bacterium. RNAcentral describes it as "partial 16S ribosomal RNA". It matches the Rfam family "Bacterial small subunit ribosomal RNA", at positions 341 to 792 of the family's 1533-position model. RNAcentral also lists the same sequence under 1 other name. The record is from RNAcentral.